UUCUCUUCUCUCGAUUCUCUCUCUCAUUCUCUCUUUAAGUGAGCUUCGCCGUUAAAAUUUCUCCGGUACCGGAAAAUUAACAAAAGAGAAAGCGAAUAGUCACUGUUACAAUAAUUACAAAUCUCUCCCUCUCUCUCUUUCUUUGUCGAAGUCGUGCGUGAUGCUAGUUACGGUGGUGAAGCAGCGGUUAGUGUACUCUCGCCGGAGAAAUCGGUUAUAACCGGAAUCUCACUUCCGUGAUCGAAGACUCUGUUUUCCGGUUUUGAUAGUUUUCGAAGUUUUUGAGAAGAAAUGGAAAAACAGGCGAAGCUAACGAGGACACAGUCGUCGUUGCUCCGGUCAUCGUCGAAUCUUCGUUCGUCAUUUCAAAGCUUAUCUUCAAUCGUCGAAGGCGAACAAGAUCUAGAAGCCGGAGAGAAAGAAGAGAAGCAGAGAAGAAAACCACCUAAACCAUUCGGUUCAUCAAGUCCUAAAUCCGGUUUAACUCGGAUUAACCCCGGUUUAGCAUUCACAAUGGUGUCUCUCUCUUUCCUCAGUCUCUCAUCGUUCUUCUUCUUCGUCGUCUUCUCACAAACCGAUGAGAUUCUCACACCGGAAAAUCUUUUACUAGCUUUAAUCUUCCUCAAUCCAUCUUCUUCUUCGCCUCCAAGAACAUCGCUCUUCUUAACCAAACCGUAAUCGCAAUCAAACAAAUCUGCGACGAAACCACUAAAAACUUCGGUUUUCAGAGCAGAAACUCAAAAUCAAAACCGGUACAAUGGUACAUCGGAGACGAUACUAAACCGGAGAAGAAGAUCAUAAAGCGGUUCGUUAAAGAAGGAGUUCAAUUCUACAGUAAUGGAGAUUUCUACUAAGGUGAAUUUCACAAAGGGAAGUGUAACGGAAGUGGUGUGUAUUACUAUUUCGUGAGAGGAAGAUAUGAAGGAGAUUGGAUAGAUGGGAGAUAUGAUGGUCAUGGGAUUGAGAGUUGGGCUAGAGGAAGUAGAUAUAAAGGUCAAUAUAGACAAGGUCUUAGACAUGGUAAUGGAGUUUAUAGAUUCUACACUGGUGAUUGUUAUGCUGGUGAAUGGUUUAAUGGUCAAAGCCAUGGUUUUGGUGGUCAAUCUUGUGCUGAUGGAAGCUCUUAUGUUGGUGAGUCUAGAUUUGGUGUUAAACAUGGUCUUGGUUCUUACCAUUUCAGAAAUGGAGAUAAGUAUGCAGGAGAGUAUUUUGGAGACAAGAUUCAUGGGUUUGGUGUGUAUCGAUUUGCUAAUGGUCAUUGUUAUGAAGGAGCAUGGCAUGAAGGUCGUAAGCAAGGGUUUGGUGCUUACUCGUUUAGAACUGGUGAUGCUAAAUCUGGUGAAUGGGAUUCAGGGAAGCUUGUAACUUCUCUUCCUCUUGCGAGUGAGCCAGUUUCAAGAGCGGUUCAGGCGGCUCGAGAAACAGCGAAUAAGGCAGUGAAUCGGAGACGAGUAGAUGAGCAGGUGAGCCGAGCCGUGGCUGCAGCUAAUAAGGCUGCUACGGCUGCAAGAGUGGCUGCUGUGAGAGCCGUUCAGAAUCAAAUGGAUGGUAAAUUUUGUCAAAGUUGAAAAGAAAAAAAAUGUAAAAAUCUUUUCUUGUUUUUUUGGGGUUUUACCGGUCUUCUCUGUAACCCUGAUUGAGCUAAAAAAAAUGGUAGCUUGUUUCAGAGGUUUGUGGCACUGAGAGUAAUUUUCUAUCUUUUUACUAAUGUAACAAACUGUAAAUAGUUGAAGAAGCUGGUGGUUUUACUUUUGUUGUAAAUCAACGGCUUGAAAUGGAGUUUUUUUAGUUUUGUUUUGUUUUGGUUUUGAUCGAAUCUUUGGGAACAAGUGAUUUUGAUUGAUA
This is an RNA transcript of Arabidopsis lyrata subsp. lyrata, 1845 nucleotides long. It is a transcript of the gene named phosphatidylinositol 4-phosphate 5-kinase 6, with no coding region annotated. NCBI's taxonomy places the organism in Eukaryota, Viridiplantae, Streptophyta, Magnoliopsida, Brassicales, Brassicaceae. The transcript is spliced from 3 exons. The record is from RefSeq and is a predicted model, not a curated record.